This 391-nucleotide unclassified non-coding RNA is filed under the name soil metagenome. RNAcentral's name for it is "partial contains 5.8S ribosomal RNA, internal transcribed spacer 2, and large subunit ribosomal RNA". The stretch from base 1 to 122 matches the Rfam family "5.8S ribosomal RNA", at positions 35 to 154 of the family's 154-position model. The record is from RNAcentral.
GAUGAAGAACGUAGCGAAAUGCGAUACUUGGUGUGAAUUGCAGAAUCCCGUGAACCAUCGAGUCUUUGAACGCAAGUUGCGCCCGAAGCCAUUAGGCCGAGGGCACGCCUGCCUGGGCGUCACACGUCGUUGCCCCCCCAUCUACUCCUUCGGGAUUGCGGGGGGCGGAUGAUGGCCUCUCGUGCGCCUCGUCGCGCGGUUGGCCUAAAUGCCAAGUCCUCGGCGACGCACGCCACGACAAUCGGUGGUUGCGAAACCUCGGUUGCCUGUCGUGUGCGGUCGUCGCGCAUCGAGGGCUCGAAAAAAUUGCCGGGCUUCGGCUCGACUUUCAACGCGACCCCAGGUCAGGCGGGGUUACCCGCUGAAUUUAAGCAUAACAAUAAGCGGAGGA